UUACGGUCAAAUCACGCUGAAACACCGGUUCUCGUACGAUCACCGAAGUUAAGCAUCGUAGAGCCAGGUCAGUAUUUAGAUGGAGGACCGCUUGGGAACACCUGGUACUGUAAG
Molecule: ribosomal RNA, 114 nt
Filed under: Acanthosepion pharaonis
Lineage: Eukaryota; Metazoa; Mollusca; Cephalopoda; Sepiida; Sepiidae
Source: RNAcentral